RNAcentral lists this ribosomal RNA (492 nucleotides) under uncultured bacterium. RNAcentral's name for it is "partial 16S ribosomal RNA". It matches the Rfam family "Bacterial small subunit ribosomal RNA", at positions 29 to 507 of the family's 1533-position model. The record is from RNAcentral.
AGUGAACGCUGGCGGUAGGCCUAACACAUGCAAGUCGAACGGCAGCACAGUAAGAGCUUGCUCUUACGGGUGGCGAGUGGCGGACGGGUGAGGAAUACAUCGGAAUCUACUUUUUCGUGGGGGAUAACGUAGGGAAACUUACGCUAAUACCGCAUACGACCUACGGGUGAAAGCAGGGGAUCUUCGGACCUUGCGCGAUUGAAUGAGCCGAUGUCGGAUUAGCUAGUUGGCGGGGUAAAGGCCCACCAAGGCGACGAUCCGUAGCUGGUCUGGGAGGAUGAUCAGCCACACUGGAACUGAGACACGGUCCAGACUCCUACGGGAGGCAGCAGUGGGGAAUAUUGGACAAUGGGCGCAAGCCUGAUCCAGCCAUACCGCGUGGGUGAAGAAGGCCUUCGGGUUGUAAAGCCCUUUUGUUGGGAAAGAAAAGCAGCAGGUUAAUACCCCGCUGUUCUGACGGUACCCAAAGAAUAAGCACCGGCUAACUCCGUG